Molecule: ribosomal RNA, 848 nt
Filed under: uncultured archaeon
Lineage: Archaea
Description: bacterial SSU rRNA
Rfam family: Archaeal small subunit ribosomal RNA
Source: RNAcentral
CUGCUAUCGGGAUAGGACUAAGACAUGCUAGUCAAGCGCUUCCCAGCCAAAGGGAAGUGCGGCACACAGCUCAGUAGCACGUGGCUAACCUGCCCUUGGGAUAGGGACAACCCCGGGAAACUGGGGCUAAUUCCUAAUAAGCGAAGAGCUCUGGAAUGAGCCUUCACUCGAAACGAUUUUUGCACUAUGCUUGCAGAUUUCGCCCUAGGAUGGGGCCGCGACCGAUCAGGUUGUUGGUGAGGUAACGGCUCACCAAGCCUAUAACCGGUGCGGGCCGUGGGAGCGGGAGCCCGGAGAUGGGUACUGAGACAAGGACCCAGGCCCUACGGGGCGCAGCAGUCGCGCAAACUUUGCAAUACACGAAAGUGUGACAGGGCUAUCCCGAGUGCCGUCCGCUGAGGAUGGCUUUUACCCAGUCUAGAAAGCUGGGGGAAUAAGGAGAGGGCAAGUCUGGUGUCAGCCGCCGCGGUAAUACCAGCUCUCCGAGUGGUGUGGAUGUUUAUUGGGCCUAAAGCAUCCGUAGCUGGCCAAGUUAGUCCCUUGUUAAACCCACCGAAUUAAUCGUUGGAUUGCGGGGGAUACUGCUCGGCUAGGGGACGGGAGAGGCAGACGGUAUUUUCGGGGUAGGGGUGAAAUCCUAUAAUCCCGGGAAGACCACCAGUGGCGAAGGCUGUCUGCUAGAACGCGCCCGACGGUGAGGGAUGAAAGCUGGGGGAGCGAACCGGAUUAGAUACCCGGGUAGUCCCAGCUGUAAACGAUGCAGGCUAGGUGUUUGGACGGCCACGUGCCGUUCUAGUGCCGCAGGGAAGCUGUUAAGCCUGCCGCCUGGGGAGUACGGUCGCAAGAUU